Long non-coding RNA from Sinocyclocheilus anshuiensis, 230 nucleotides. RefSeq lists it as uncharacterized. The record is from RefSeq and is a predicted model, not a curated record. The transcript has 3 exons. NCBI's taxonomy places the organism in Eukaryota, Metazoa, Chordata, Actinopteri, Cypriniformes, Cyprinidae.
GUUUGUUGGACAGUGAGAGGGAGCCGGAGAGAUGGUAGUAAGAGGGCUCCAGCUGUGCAAUGAGUUUCUUCAAGGGUCAAGACUGACGAUUAGGGAUGAAAGUGAUGCUGAAAAGAUGCCUGCUUUUUAACUCGAAAAUAUAAACAAAGUUGGAGCAAAGAAGUGAAGAAGCUGGAAACAGGAUACUGACACAAAGAUAAAUGUACCGUAGUUGGGAAGAGGAAUUGUUG